This is a long non-coding RNA of Sycon ciliatum, 1264 nucleotides long. RefSeq lists it as uncharacterized. The record is from RefSeq and is a predicted model, not a curated record. The transcript is spliced from 3 exons. NCBI's taxonomy places the organism in Eukaryota, Metazoa, Porifera, Calcarea, Leucosolenida, Sycettidae.
UCAUUUGUCUACUCACGUUUUGCAGAGAUUGACGAGUGUGCCAGCGAGCCGUGUCAGAAUGACGGGAGUUGCAUCGACGCAUUCAAUAGUUUUUCGUGUAACUGCUCAGUUGGCUACACGGGCGACGUAUGUCAGACACGUUGGCUGACACUAGCUGUAUUUGAAGCGUUGAAUGCAAACGUCGCUAUCCUUGAGUCGCAAUUAGCUGAGGCGAACCGCACCAUCCGGGCGAGCCUGAAUACAAACGUCGGCAUCCUUGAGUCGCAAUUAGCUGAGGCGAACCGCACUAUCCGGGCGAGCGUGAAUGGAAACGCAAAUCGCAUAAACAAUUUGGAAGGCCCUGUGUCUACAUUGCAGGAGUUACAACAGUGCAAUCCAGCAUCACUAGGAUUCGCCUAUACAACACAUUACGGAGUUGGAAAUGGAAUCACCCAACUGGCUAGCCUCCGAUUCACGAAGAAACGUGCAUCCACACUUCUACGGAUCACUUACUCAACCACUAUUCGGACUAGUGGAGGGCCUCACGGCUCAGGCUCUCUGUGGUACGCCAAAAUUGACGGUCAACAGUGCACUCGGCCAGCACGUAUAAAUAUUGCUCACUACCGACGUGAACCCGAUCGAGUGUCUAUUCCUGCCUAUUUGGAAGGUCUCUGCGGAGCGACAAGUGCGGGACCAAUCAAGGAAGGCAGUCACGUGAUCACAAUUCACACGGGAGAACUUACGAACGUAGCUGACGCUACCUCGGGCGGCUGGGCGUCACACUCUCUUCUGCAAGUCAAAGAGAUCUGCGACCAAUAAGGAACUUUCGUUACACUGGCAACGUUAGAUCGGAUCAGUGAUUUCCUUCGCUCUCUCUCUCUCUCUCCCCAUCUGGGAUAUUGCAUAAUUAUACAUGUACAUGUACAUAUACAUGUAGUGUCCCUGUUAUUGGUUGACAACAUGUAACAAGGUAGAGACCACAGUGUUCGGAAACAGUGACCUUUCUACAACCAUCCACGGUUGGUAGAGCCCCGGUCUUCACGACCAUCUGAACCGUAUGGGUGUUAGAGCCCGGUUCUGACCCUCUUUAUUCUAGGGGAGUUGUCUAAGUUUUCUUGUUGUUGUACCUUCAGUCGUGUAUUCGUUGUUCGCUCCUGGAUGUCUUCUUGAUAUUCAGUCUUCGCAAAAUUUGUAGCUUCUGUUCUGAAUUGUUAUUCUUCUUUUUCUUUUUAUACUCGUUUUCCAACUUCUACCUCUUCUAUUGUACUGUCACUCUAUACGCAUG